CACUAUGGUCGUAUACCUGUUUGUCAAUGGCCAGUCUCAUCCGAUCUAUGAAGCGGGGUUGGAAUUGGUUAGUACUUGGAUGGGAGACCACUGGGAAUACCAGGAUCCAGAGUGG
Molecule: ribosomal RNA, 115 nt
Filed under: Periophthalmus magnuspinnatus
Lineage: Eukaryota; Metazoa; Chordata; Actinopteri; Gobiiformes; Gobiidae
Source: RNAcentral